Apis dorsata (giant honeybee) is the source of this 533-nucleotide long non-coding RNA. RefSeq lists it as uncharacterized. Lineage: Eukaryota; Metazoa; Arthropoda; Insecta; Hymenoptera; Apidae. The transcript is spliced from 3 exons. The record is from RefSeq and is a predicted model, not a curated record.
AUUUAUGUUUAAUAUACAAUUUUUGAGCCAUCGUAAAGAAAGGACUGUCUUUGCUCUUAUUCAAAUCAAGAAUCACUCUAAAAGUUUUUAAGCGUUCAAUGAUAUUUAAGCUAUCGAAAUGAACUAAAAUCAACGAUUAAAGAUUAUAAUUAUUAAAAAAUAAUUAUAAUAGUAUAAAAAUGAUGAAUUAAAUAAUAAAACAAAAAUAAAUCAAAAUUAAUCAUGUGCAAUCAAAAAUAUUGAUCUAAUACGAGGACAAUGUUGAAUCAUAAAUAAGAAAAUGAAGAUAACCUAUUAACAUUUCCAUUGACAAAUAUUAAACUAAUAAAAAAUUAAUUCUCAAAGUAAUAAUAAAAAGUUUUUGUUUUAAAAAGAUCAUUCCAUAAUAUAAAUAUAGAAUAUGAUAAAAAAAUAUAAAAAUAAAGUAUAAAAAAUAAUUAAAAAUAGUGUGAACCGUAAAUAAAGAAAACAAAAUCGUCCCCUCCUCGAUAGUAUAGUGGUUAGUAUCCCCGCCUAUGAUCGGAAGAGACACA